GCCAAAAACUUAGCUAAACUUCCUUCUAAUGUCCCCCCCCACCACCACAUCAACCAAUAAAACAUUUUCUACAUUUAGUAAAGGCGAUCAAAAAAUGUUUAAAAGCUAUAAAAUUAGUACCGCAAGGGAAUAGUGAAAUAUUAAUGAAAAUCUAAAGCACAUAAAAGCAGAGCUAUAGCCUCGUACCUUUUGCAUCAUGGUCUAACUAGUCUAAUCAAGCAAAACGAACUUUAAGUCUGACCCCCCGAAACUAGGUGAGCUACUUAAAAACAGCCUCACGGGCUAACCCGUCUCUGUUGCAAAAGAGUGGGAAGAUUUUUAAGUAGAGGUGACAGACCUAUCGAACCUAGAGAUAGCUGGUUAUUCAGGAAAAGGAUUUAAGUCCUACCUUAGGUUUUUCAUACCCCCAAAUAUUUACCAAACCUUAAGAGCUAUUCAAAUAAGGUACAGCCUAUUUGAAACAGGAUACAACCUCACCAAUCGGGUAACUUCUAUUUUAAUUAACCAAGUGGGCCUAAAAGCAGCCACCUUCCAAAAAGCGUUAAAGCUUCAUUAUUACGCAUAAAAAUUCCACCACCUCUUUUCAACCCCUAAACCGUACUGAAUGAUCCCAUAGCCCUAUGGGAGCCUAUAUGUUAGAACUAGUAACAAGAAGAUAGUUCUUCUCCAAAAUGUAAGCAUGGGCCAAAAUGAACCACUCAUUGGCACUUAAAGUUAAUAAACCCUUAGUAGUAACCAAGCAAGAAAAAUCUACUAAUUAUAACGUCAACCUUACACAAGCACAUUUCUGGAAAGAUUAAAAAAAUGGGAAGGAACUCGGCAAACUAUUAACCCCGCCUGUUUACCAAAAACAUCGCCUCUUGUUACCCAUAAGAGGUCCAGCCUGCCCAGUGACAAAGUUAAACGGCCGCGGUACCCUAACCGUGCAAAGGUAGCGCAAUCACUUGUUCUUUAAAUGAGGACUAGUAUGAAUGGCAUCACGAGGGUUAUGCUGUCUCCCCAAUUUACUCAGUGAAACUGAUCUCCCCGUGAAGAAGCGGGGAUAAGAAUAUAAGACGAGAAGACCCCAUGGAGCUUUAAACUCAGUAACAAUUGCACCACAAAAUAACCUAAUAUUUAUGCAACCCUGUCUACUAGUUUUCGGUUGGGGUGACCACGGAGUAUAAACAAACCUCCACGAUGAAAGGAAUUAACAACCUAAACCAAGAGCUACAGCUCUAAAUAUCAACAAAUUGACUAAAUUGAUCCAAUCACUUGAUCAACGAACCAAGUUACCCUGGGGAUAACAGCGCAAUCCAUUUCAAGAGCUCAUAUCGACAAAUGGGUUUACGACCUCGAUGUUGGAUCAGGGUAUCCAAGUGGCGCAGCCGCUACUAACGGUUCGUUUGUUCAAC
Molecule: ribosomal RNA, 1394 nt
Filed under: Microhyla mantheyi
Lineage: Eukaryota; Metazoa; Chordata; Amphibia; Anura; Microhylidae
Description: partial 16S ribosomal RNA
Rfam family: Bacterial large subunit ribosomal RNA
Source: RNAcentral